This 405-nucleotide ribosomal RNA is filed under the name uncultured Anaeroplasma sp. RNAcentral's name for it is "bacterial SSU rRNA". It matches the Rfam family "Bacterial small subunit ribosomal RNA", at positions 358 to 774 of the family's 1533-position model. Lineage: Bacteria; Bacillati; Mycoplasmatota; Mollicutes; Anaeroplasmatales; Anaeroplasmataceae. The record is from RNAcentral.
GGAAUUUUCGGCAAUGGGCAAAAGCCUGACCGAGCAAUGCCGCGUGAUCGAAGAAGUAUUUCGGUAUGUAAAGAUCUUUUAUUUGGGAAGAAAAAACAAAUUGACUGAACCAAAUGAAUAAGCUCCGGCUAACUACGUGCCAGCAGCCGCGGUAAUACGUAGGGAGCGAGCGUUAUCCGGAAUUAUUGGGCGUAAAGGGUGCGUAGACGGCAAUAAAAGUUUCUUGUUAAAAAGCAGGGCUCAACCCUGUUGAGCAAGAGAUACUGUAUAGCUAGAGUAUAGGAGAGGUAAGUGGAACUCCAUGUGUAGCGGUAAAAUGCGUAAAUAUAUGGAAGAACACCAGUGGCGAAGGCGGCUUACUAGCCUGAUACUGACGUUGAGGCACGAAAGCGUGGGGAGCAAACA